ACCCAGUGCCCCCAGCAUAUCAGCAGGUGCCACCACAGGACCCCCCAGUCUAUCCCCAGCUGGGUCCAGUCCCCCUCCACGGGACCCCACUCCUUCCUUGAUCGACCCGGGCUACAUAGAGAGGUACAGGAGACUGAACCCCUCCACCUUUGCAGGGGGAUCCUCUUUUGAAGAGGCCCAGUACUAGCUGGCGAAGACUGAGAGAGCUUUCAGGAUCUUGGGAGUAGUUCCUGAGCAGAGAGCUGCCCUUGCUUCCUACAUGCUGGUAGGGGAAGCAGGACGUUGGUGGGAGCUCAAGCAGACCACCCUGCCUACACCAGUCACUUGGGAGUAGUUCCUAGCGGCCUUCCAUGCGGAGUAUCUCCCUGAGCACAUCCAACACCUAAAGAAAACGGAGUUUGUUCAACUGGUUCAGG
Molecule: long non-coding RNA, 416 nt
Filed under: Carica papaya (papaya)
Lineage: Eukaryota; Viridiplantae; Streptophyta; Magnoliopsida; Brassicales; Caricaceae
Description: long non-coding RNA (CPAP_LNC000629)
Source: RNAcentral